UACGUAGGGCGCAAGCGUUGUCCGGAAUUAUUGGGCGUAAAGAGUUCGUAGGCGGUUACUUAAGUCUGGUGUUAAAGCCCGAUGCUCAACGUCGGCAUGGCAUUGGAAACUGGGUAGCUAGAGUGUGUCAGAGGUUACGGGAAUUCCUGGUGUAGCGGUGAAAUGCGUAGAUAUCAGGAGGAACACCUGUGGCGAAAGCGCGUAACUGGGGCAUAACUGACGCUGAGGAACGAAAGCCAGGGUAUCCAAAGGG
This 253-nucleotide ribosomal RNA is filed under the name uncultured bacterium. RNAcentral describes it as "partial 16S ribosomal RNA". It matches the Rfam family "Bacterial small subunit ribosomal RNA", at positions 524 to 776 of the family's 1533-position model. The record is from RNAcentral.